RNAcentral lists this ribosomal RNA (402 nucleotides) under uncultured bacterium. RNAcentral's name for it is "bacterial SSU rRNA". It matches the Rfam family "Bacterial small subunit ribosomal RNA", at positions 355 to 774 of the family's 1533-position model. The record is from RNAcentral.
UGGGGAAUAUUGGACAAUGGGCGAAAGCCUGAUCCAGCCAUGCCGCGUGAGUGAUGAAGGCCCUAGGGUUGUAAAGCUCUUUUGUGCGGGAAGAUAAUGACGGUACCGCAAGAAUAAGCCCCGGCUAACUUCGUGCCAGCAGCCGCGGUAAUACGAAGGGGGCUAGCGUUGCUCGGAAUCACUGGGCGUAAAGGGUGCGUAGGCGGGUCUUUAAGUCAGGGGUGAAAUCCUGGAGCUCAACUCCAGAACUGCCUUUGAUACUGAGGAUCUUGAGUUCGGGAGAGGUGAGUGCAACUGCGAGUGUUGAGGUGAAAUUCGUAGAUAUUCGCAAGAACACCAGUGGCGAAGGCGGCUCACUGGCCCGAUACUGACGCUGAGGCACGAAAGCGUGGGGAGCAAACA